This 400-nucleotide unclassified non-coding RNA is filed under the name soil metagenome. RNAcentral describes it as "partial contains 5.8S ribosomal RNA, internal transcribed spacer 2, and large subunit ribosomal RNA". The stretch from base 1 to 122 matches the Rfam family "5.8S ribosomal RNA", at positions 35 to 154 of the family's 154-position model. The record is from RNAcentral.
GAUGAAGAACGUAGUGAAAUGCGAUACUUGGUGUGAAUUGCAGAAUCCCGUGAACCAUCGAGUCUUUGAACGCAAGUUGCGCCCGAAGCCAUCAGGUUGAGGGCACGUCUGCCUGGGCGUCACAUAUCGUUGCCUGAUGCCAGUUUCCUCGUGAUGGGUGACUGUGCAGGGCGAAUGAUGGCUUCCCGUGAGCAUUGUUGCCUCAUGGUUGGUUGAAAAUUGAGUCCUUGGUAGGGAGCGCCGUGAUAGAUGGUGGUUGAGUGACGAACGAGACCCAAUCAUGUGAGACCCCUACCGAAUUUGGCCUUCAUGACCCACAUGCGUCUUUGGAACGCUCAUGACGAGACCUCAGGUCAGGCGGGGCUACCCGCUGAGUUUAAGCAUAUCAAUAAGCGGAGGA